RNAcentral lists this ribosomal RNA (305 nucleotides) under uncultured bacterium. RNAcentral describes it as "partial 16S ribosomal RNA". It matches the Rfam family "Bacterial small subunit ribosomal RNA", at positions 505 to 808 of the family's 1533-position model. The record is from RNAcentral.
ACAGCAGCAGCCGCGGGAAUACGUAGGUCCCGAGCGUUGUCCGGAUUUAUUGGGCGUAAAGGGAGCGCAGGCGGUUUAGUAAGUCUGAAGUUAAAGGCAUUGGCUCAACCAAUGUAUGCUUUGGAAACUGUUAGACUUGAGUGCAGAAGGGGAGAGUGGAAUUCCAUGUGUAGCGGUGAAAUGCGUAGAGAUUAGGAGGAACACCAGUGGCGAAGGCGGCUUUUUGGCCUGUAACUGACACUGAGGCGCGAAAGCGUGGGGAGCAAACAGGAUUAGAUACCCCAGUAGUCCCUGUCUCUUAUACA